UACAGAGGGCGCGAGCGUUGUCCGGAAUCACUGGGCGUAAAGAGCGUGUAGGCGGUCCGGUAAGUCGGCUGUGAAAGUCCAGGGCUCAACCCUGGGAUGCCGGUGGAUACUGUCGGGCUCGAGUCCGGAAGAGGAGUGUGGAAUUCCGUGGUGUAGCGGUGAAAUGCGUAAGAUAUCAAGAGGAACACCUGCGGCGAAGGCGGGUUGCUGGGCCGACACUGACGCU
Molecule: ribosomal RNA, 226 nt
Filed under: uncultured bacterium
Lineage: Bacteria
Description: partial 16S ribosomal RNA
Rfam family: Bacterial small subunit ribosomal RNA
Source: RNAcentral